AGUCACUUCAUUCAAAAUGUCAAACACCACAUUCUUUCUGCCCUGAGUGUUUGUUGCAGAGAAUUUAUGUUGUAAAUUUAGAUGAUUAUAAAUUAGAGAGCAAAAUUUAUAUUUUCAGCGUUCCAACACAUGCUUCAUUCUGUGCUGUAAGCUAACUUGUAGUAUUCCAGUACGUCACAUGUUGUAUGUGCUUUAAAUUGUAUGUAUUCUGUAAAUUGUUGUAUGGGGAUUCUGAGAUUUUAUUGCUUGUGACCCAAACUGUGAAGAAGUGGGUUUGAAAUUUUGCUCAUGAAAUAUAGGAUCAGAAAACCAUGGACAAAGGUUUUUACCUGUGUUGAUAUGACUUUUGGAAACUCAAACUGACCGGUCAAAAUUUUGCCAUGCCUUUAACAUGGAGUAGUAUAAAUAUUUUGAGUCUUUGAGAGUUCUGACAAAUGCAGGUGAUACCAUGUCUGUGUAAUCUGGUCCAAAUGUUCUAGAAGCGUAUAAGAGAGAAAUUCUAUUGACAGGGUACAUAUGUUGCAACUGGUUAAUGCAAGUGUUAUACAAAUGUUUAAGUCAAACGCGUUAUAUGGCCGUACGGGAUCCCUUCUGUAAAAAAUAAACCCUUUUGGUACCAGAAGUCUUAAAUAAAUCCGAUACAAACUAAAAUUGGUAUACCUUACAAUAAUAUGUUCUGAAUACAGCUGUUAGAAGUUUAUUCUGUGUGAAUGGUGAUUGUGAUAAAUGUGUGUUUUGGUUACUCAUUUUAAAGUGUGCAGUUUUAAUUGUCAUGUAUGUUAAUGGCUAUUUUGCUGUGUUAUUUUAAAUUAUAUUUGAAUAAGUUUGUCUUACGAUUGAUACAGAUGAAAAUGGCAGCGUAAUAAUCUAUUAAAUAACUGAUUUAUUAUUGAAUACUAGUCCAAGAGCAAUAUGAGUUGUAGUCUUAAGAAAGAAAAAAAGGUGGGAGUCUGUUUUUGUAAGUUUUAGCUGAUUUCCAAAAUUCUGUUGCAAUAAUGGACGUCCUGCCAAAAUUUGACUUUCCUGUCCAGUUGCCAGGUGCUCUGAUCUAAUCUUAAAGUAGUACUGAUUGCAAAGUUUGCAGACAUGCAUAAUGCACAAACAUGAGAACCAAAUUAUGUCUGUCAUAGUGUGAC
Pelobates cultripes (western spadefoot toad) is the source of this 1136-nucleotide non-coding RNA. The record is from the annotation of a GenBank genome assembly. NCBI's taxonomy places the organism in Eukaryota, Metazoa, Chordata, Amphibia, Anura, Pelobatidae.